This 477-nucleotide ribosomal RNA is filed under the name uncultured bacterium. RNAcentral's name for it is "partial 16S ribosomal RNA". It matches the Rfam family "Bacterial small subunit ribosomal RNA", at positions 28 to 507 of the family's 1533-position model. The record is from RNAcentral.
GACGAACGCUGGCGGCGUGCUUAACACAUGCAAGUCGAACGGUGAGGCGCUUUCCUUUUUGGUGGCUGUGGAUGCGAGGGGAACGGGAGCGCAACACGUGCGUACCCUGCACCCUUCUACUGGUUCACCGCACGAAAGCGUGGCUCAUACGGGAUCUUCUGGGUCUGUCGCAUGAUUGGUCUGGGUAGGCUGUUGCGGCGGUGGGGGAUGGACUGGCGGCCUGUCAGCGGGUUGGUGGGGAAGUGGCCUACCACGGCGGUGCCGGGUAGGCGGCCUGAGAGGGUGAACGGCAACAUUGGGACUGAGAUACGGCCCAGACUCCUAGGGGAGGCAGCAGUGGGGAAUAUUGCACAAUGGGCGGAAGCCUGAUGCAGCAACGCCGCGUGAGGGAUGAGGGCCUUCGGGUUGUAAACCGCUUUCGCCUGUGACGAAGCGUGAGUGACGGUAAUGGGUAAAGAAGCAACGGCUAAAUACGUG